Molecule: long non-coding RNA, 899 nt
Organism: Pan troglodytes (chimpanzee)
Lineage: Eukaryota; Metazoa; Chordata; Mammalia; Primates; Hominidae
Exons: 3
Source: RefSeq, a predicted model, not a curated record
GCCAAGAUUACACCACUGCACUCUAGCCUGGCGACAGAGAGACACUCCGUCUCAAAAAAAAAAAAAAAAAAAGAAAGAAUAGUAGUUGUUCUCAAUGGUGGGGGGGUGAUUCUGUCCCCAGGGGACACUGGGCUAUGUCUCGGGACAUCUGUGGUCAUGAUGACAGGGAGUGCUCCUGGCAUGGAGUGGGUGAAGGGCAGGGACGCUGCUCAGCACCCUGCAAUGCCCAGGACAGCCCCACCCCAGAGAAUGGCUUGGCCCCAACAUCCAUAGUGCCCAAGAGGAGAGACCCUAGCUUGGAGAUAGGAACUGAAAUAUUUACAGGCUUAGUGUUUAAUUCCUAAAGCGGAUUUCCUCUGUAAUCAGGGGGAAAAAAAAAAAAGGAGUGAAGUGGAGAAACUGCACUCCCGGGAGACGUUGCACAUUCCCAAGCCCACGCUGCACCUCACACGCCGCAGGGAGCAAUGUCCCCCUAGUGGCCCCUCGCCAAGAGAGAAGGAGUCUCGCUCCGUCACCUAGGCUGGACUCAAACUCCUGGUCUCAAGCAACUCCCCCGUCUCAGCCUCCCAAAGCACUGGGAUUACUGUGAGCCACCAUGCCUGGCCCAGACACCAAAUGUGAAGGUAUAAGAACUUCCAGAGAUGGCAAAGCACCCACACCGCCCUCGUGCUAAAGUUUCUGGAAUCUUCCUUAGACGGGUGAACUGUGUGCUGCCAGAAAUAAAAUUAAUAGCCUCACUUUUUUGGGUGCUUACAAGGGUUGGAACUUCAAGAAAUGGUCAUGAAUUCACUCCAGCCCUGGCUCAAAGGCUUUUUUUUCUUUCUUCCCUUCUUCUUCCCCCUACUCCCUUCUCUUCCUCUUUCCCCUCCUCCUUCCUUCUCCUUCUUUUUCUUUUUGGA